AGUCGAGGGGUAUAGUUCUUCGGAACUAGAGACCGGCGCACGGGUGCGUAACGCGUAUGCAAUCUACCUUUCACAGAGGGAUAGCCCAGAGAAAUUUGGAUUAAUACCUCAUAGUAUUAUAGAGUGGCAUCACUUUAUAAUUAAAGUCACAACGGUGAAAGAUGAGCAUGCGUCCCAUUAGCUAGUUGGUAAGGUAACGGCUUACCAAGGCAACGAUGGGUAGGGGUCCUGAGAGGGAGAUCCCCCACACUGGUACUGAGACACGGACCAGACUCCUACGGGAGGCAGCAGUGAGGAAUAUUGGACAAUGGGCGCAAGCCUGAUCCAGCCAUGCCGCGUGCAGGAUGACGGUCCUAUGGAUUGUAAACUGCUUUUGUACAGGAAGAAACACUGGUUCGUGAACCAGCUUGACGGUACUGUAAGAAUAAGGAUCGGCUAACUCCGUGCCAGCAGCCGCGGUAAUACGGAGGAUCCAAGCGUUAUCCGGAAUCAUUGGGUUUAAAGGGUCCGUAGGCGGUUUAGUAAGUCAGUGGUGAAAGCCCAUCGCUCAACGGUGGAACGGCCAUUGAUACUGCUAAACUUGAAUUAUUAGGAAGUAACUAGAAUAUGUAGUGUAGCGGUGAAAUGCUUAGAGAUUACAUGGAAUACCAAUUGCGAAGGCAGGUUACUACUAAUGGAUUGACGCUGAUGGACGAAAGCGUGGGUAGCGAACAGGAUUAGAUACCCUGGUAGUCCACGCCGUAAACGAUGGAUACUAGCUGUUGGAAGCAAUUUCAGUGGCUAAGCGAAAGUGAUAAGUAUCCCACCUGGGGAGUACGUUCGCAAGA
Molecule: ribosomal RNA, 827 nt
Filed under: Flavobacterium sp. CS42
Lineage: Bacteria; Pseudomonadati; Bacteroidota; Flavobacteriia; Flavobacteriales; Flavobacteriaceae
Description: bacterial SSU rRNA
Rfam family: Bacterial small subunit ribosomal RNA
Source: RNAcentral